CUGGCUCAGAACGAACGCUGGCGCGUGCUUAACACAUGCAAGUCGAAACGCGAAAGGGACUUCGGUCCUGAGUAAAAGUGGCGCACGGGUGAGUAACGCGUAGAUAACCUGUCUUCAUGUCUGGAAUAAUACGCCAAAGGGGUACUAAUACCGGAUAUUCUUGCUUUUCACAAGUUAUGCAAGCAAAGGUGGCCUCUGCAUAUGCUACUGCAUGAAGAGGGGUCUGCGUACCAUUAGCUAGUAGGUGGGGUAAUGGCCUACCUAGGCGACGAUGGUUAGCGGGUCUGAGAGGAUGAUCCGCCACACUGGCACUGGAACACGGGCCAGACUCCUACGGGAGGCAGCAGUGAGGAAUAUUGCGCAAUGGGGGAAACCCUGACGCAGCGACGCCGCGUGAGUGAGGAAGGCCUUCGGGUCGUAAAGCUCUGUCAAGAGGAAAGAAGUGUACAAUGGCUAAUACCUGUUGUAUUUGACGGUACCUCUAAAGGAAGCACCGGCUAACUCCGUGCCAGCCGCCGC
RNAcentral lists this ribosomal RNA (519 nucleotides) under uncultured bacterium. Its description in RNAcentral is "bacterial SSU rRNA". It matches the Rfam family "Bacterial small subunit ribosomal RNA", at positions 19 to 518 of the family's 1533-position model. The record is from RNAcentral.